GCAGAGGCUGAGUCAGCCUCCCGGACGAGGGGCGCCGUACCCGGUCAGCGACAAGACGGCCCGGG
This 65-nucleotide non-coding RNA is filed under the name Intrasporangium chromatireducens Q5-1. RNAcentral also lists the same sequence under 1 other name. The record is from RNAcentral. Lineage: Bacteria; Bacillati; Actinomycetota; Actinomycetes; Micrococcales; Intrasporangiaceae.